Catharus ustulatus (Swainson's thrush) is the source of this 414-nucleotide non-coding RNA. NCBI's taxonomy places the organism in Eukaryota, Metazoa, Chordata, Aves, Passeriformes, Turdidae. The record is from the annotation of a RefSeq genome assembly.
AUGCGUCAGAGCCCUGGGAAGGCACUGGAAUACGUCGCGGGGAUCAGCAGCAGUGGCGGCACCGACUAUGCACCUGCGGGGGGGACCUCCAGCCCCCCGGGGGGGUCCCUGACUCUGCUCUGCCGCGGGUCUGGGUUCGAUUUUGGGAGUUACGGAAUGUUCUGGAUCCGCCAGAGCCCUGGGAAGCCACUGGAAUACGUUGGGAGUAUCAACAGCAAUGGUGGCAGCAUGUACUAUGCACCGUCGGUCAAGGGCCGGUUCACGAUCUCCAGGGACAACGGGCAGAGCUCGGUGACGCUGACCAUGAACAACCUCAAGGACGAGGAUUCCGCCGUUUAUUUCUGCGGCAAACGUGAUAAUGGUAAUGCUGGUGCUGAUGCCAUUGCUGGUUCCGACCCACCCCAGCUGCUCUGA